UACGAAGGGGGCGAGCGUUGUUCGGAUUUACUGGGCGUAAAGGGCGCGCAGGCGGCUUUGUUUGUCAGGCGUGAAAGCCCUGGGCUUAACCUGGGAAUUGCAGUCGAUACUACUCAGCUAGAGUAUGGGAGAGGGCAGUGGAAUUCCCGGUGUAGCGGUGAAAUGCGUAGAUAUCGGAAGGAACAUCAGUGGCGAAAGCGACUUCCUGGACCAGUACCGACGUUCAGGCACGAAAGCGUGGGGAGCAAACAGG
RNAcentral lists this ribosomal RNA (253 nucleotides) under uncultured bacterium. RNAcentral's name for it is "partial 16S ribosomal RNA". It matches the Rfam family "Bacterial small subunit ribosomal RNA", at positions 524 to 776 of the family's 1533-position model. The record is from RNAcentral.